RNAcentral lists this ribosomal RNA (525 nucleotides) under uncultured bacterium. Its description in RNAcentral is "bacterial SSU rRNA". It matches the Rfam family "Bacterial small subunit ribosomal RNA", at positions 50 to 572 of the family's 1533-position model. The record is from RNAcentral.
AACACAUGCAAGUCGAACGGUAACAUUUCUAGCUUGCUAGAAGAUGACGAGUGGCGGACGGGUGAGUAAUGCUUGGGAACUUGCCUUUGCGAGGGGGAUAACAGUUGGAAACGACUGCUAAUACCGCAUAAUGUCUACGGACCAAACGGGGCUUAGGCUCCGGCGCAAAGAGAGGCCCAAGUGAGAUUAGCUAGUUGGUAAGGUAAAGGCUUACCAAGGCGACGAUCUCUAGCUGUUCUGAGAGGAAGAUCAGCCACACUGGGACUGAGACACGGCCCAGACUCCUACGGGAGGCAGCAGUGGGGAAUAUUGCACAAUGGGGGAAACCCUGAUGCAGCCAUGCCGCGUGUGUGAAGAAGGCCUUCGGGUUGUAAAGCGCUUUCAGUUGUGAGGAAAAGUUAGUAGUUAAUACCUGCUAGCCGUGACGNUUACAACAGAAGAAGCACCGGCUAACUCCGUGCCAGCAGCCGCGGUAAUACGGAGGGUGCGAGCGUNAAUCGGAAUUACUGGGCGUUAAGCGCACGC